Long non-coding RNA from Anastrepha obliqua, 968 nucleotides. RefSeq lists it as uncharacterized. NCBI's taxonomy places the organism in Eukaryota, Metazoa, Arthropoda, Insecta, Diptera, Tephritidae. The transcript has 3 exons. The record is from RefSeq and is a predicted model, not a curated record.
GCAUUCGUUCGUUUAUCAACUGACUUGCUGGUCGGUGUAUUAUUAUUUGGUUUGUCACCGUUUCAGUUGCCUAUGAGACGUCGUUGCGGUAAUGUUUGUAGGCGGAUUAUUUUAAUCGGUAGUGAAAUUAAAUUUACUUGAAUUUUCGCUCACGGUAUUGGCUCUAAAUAUUCGACGCGUGCUUUUUUAACAUGUUUUGGCUGGCGCGGAUUAUAAACGUGUAAUAAAAUAACACAAAACAAAGCGCGUGAAAUGAAAAAAAGUGCUAAUAAUUUUGACGGGAAAGUGUUUUGAAAUUUUAAGGGUUUUUACCAAAAUAUUAACACGCGAAGUGUAUUUAAAGAAAUAUAUUUAUAUGUGCACAUUUGUUUGUGUAUUUGUGCGAGUCAAAGUGAAGUGUGAAAAUAAAGUGAAGUAAGGUGAAUAGCUGGCGAAUAACUGGCAUGCAAACAACGGCUAAGCCAUACGCAAAAUGAAAUAAAACAAAAGGAAUAAAAGUAAAACGUCAAAACGUCAGCGUAGUGUUUAUUUUUCGUUUUAUUAGGACGAGUUGAAGUGUGGCCUACACGAAUGCGAAAAUAUCAAACUAAAAUUGAAGAUUGAAUUUAAUAAUUCUACUGCUGUUGCUAAGAAAAAUUGCUGCAAAUAUCGCCUGCAAAUCUGCUUGUCAAUUGCUCCGGUUGCAUGAGGUCAAAAAGCUGAUACUUUUCUGAGAAACUCGGAAUCAAAAAUUCCAAAUCAUAAUUAAACGAAUAUGAAAAAUUAAUUGAUAAUUACAUAGAAAAGAAGGGAAAUACCCUAAAUACAAUACAAAUAAUUUAAUUUCUCAGUAAAUAAAUAAAACAAAAAAAUUAAGAGUAACUCUUCGCUGGAAUUAGUGAAAUUUUAAAGCACUUUAAAGCAAUACUGUGAGCUGAUUCACAUCAAUAGGUCAUCUCUCCUACAAUUACUUUUUUCGUGGUUGGUGA